GAUGAACGCUGGCGGCGUGCCUAAUACAUGCAAGUCGAGCGGACAGACGAGGAGCUUGCUCCUCUGACGUUAGCGGCGGACGGGUGAGUAACACGUGGAUAACCUACCUAUAAGACUGGGAUAACUUCGGGAAACCGGAGCUAAUACCGGAUAAUAUAUUGAACCGCAUGGUUCAAUAGUGAAAGACGGUUUUGCUGUCACUUAUAGAUGGAUCCGCGCCGCAUUAGCUAGUUGGUAAGGUAACGGCUUACCAAGGCGACGAUGCGUAGCCGACCUGAGAGGGUGAUCGGCCACACUGGAACUGAGACACGGUCCAGACUCCUACGGGAGGCAGCAGUAGGGAAUCUUCCGCAAAGGGCGAAAGCCUGACGGAGCAACGCCGCGUGAGUGAUGAAGGUCUUCGGAUCGUAAAACUCUGUUAUUAGGGAAGAACAAAUGUGUAAGUAACUAUGCACGUCUUGACGGUACCUAAUCAGAAAGCCACGGCUAACUACGUG
RNAcentral lists this ribosomal RNA (497 nucleotides) under uncultured bacterium. Its description in RNAcentral is "partial 16S ribosomal RNA". It matches the Rfam family "Bacterial small subunit ribosomal RNA", at positions 28 to 507 of the family's 1533-position model. The record is from RNAcentral.